Molecule: long non-coding RNA, 1135 nt
Organism: Gallus gallus (chicken)
Lineage: Eukaryota; Metazoa; Chordata; Aves; Galliformes; Phasianidae
Source: Ensembl
AAUGUUGUGGCACUCUUGCAGAGAUUUUGGCAGGGGGAAAAAAAGAUUAAGUGGUCUAUGUUAAUGAGAAUCAUGGUAAUUCUUGUGGGGUGGGGAAAUGUCUGUAUUCAGGGCUUAGAUGAUUCCCAAAAUUGAACACUGCAUGAACGGCAAAAGAUAGCACGCUGUUUCCAAGGGGUCUGCUGUAUUCUGAGCUUUGAGUAGUUCAUGUUGUAGCUGAGCACGUGGGAUCAGUGAGAUUGCUUCAGCUAAAGGUGCUCUCAUAGAUGUCUGGGGUAAUCUCCAUAGUGUAGUGGUUUUUUAAUGUGUUUUUUGUUUGCUUGCUUCUUCUUGUUUCUUUUUUUGGAUGUUAUCCACACAGAGAGAAGCAACAUUUGGUGUCAGUAAGUACAGGAGUACCACCCCUAAGACAGGCAGCUUUAUGCUAUAAUCUGAGAGGCACGGAGUCAGCACAUUUUUUGGCUUUCCUUCCCUAUGUGGUUCUCUGGCAUGCCAGCUCUGUGUUCUUCCUCCAAGCAAACAACUGCAGGUACUUCAUACAGCAGCCAUCACCCCCCCUGCAGGAAGCUGCUGCUGCUUAUUGGAGGCUGCAGUAGCAGAGACAGCAUGUAGGAGACGUGGAUCUUCCCUUUGAUUUCUGAAAGUUGGGACACUGAAGAUCCUCAGCAACCAAGCUAUCUGCUGAACUUGGAAGUUUGCUGUCUGUUCACUCCAAAAUACAUCACUUGUGACCGGCCUGAGUUGAAAUCAGCAUUUCUUGAGCGAAAUGAGCCUCUAACCAAAGGCUGGCUUCCUGCAAGGCCCGUGGCUCCGAACCUGAGCUGCACACAUCUUUGUGCAGUGAAAAAUGGAUCAUGAAGAAAUAGUUCUGUCUAUGAAAGCCUCUAAAAACUAAAAAAGUCAACUUGGUGAUGGGUAGAUAACUAAGGAAAGCAAGAGAAGUUAGUGUUAAGAAGAGGAAUCAUGCAGCUAACACAUUCGGGACAAUUAAAAAAUAGCAAUCAGUGACCAGAUGCAUGCAUUACUAACAAGCGUAGCUGAUGAUCCUGCACUGCUGUGACCUUCACGCUGCCGUCUCCCUUCCUCCACCCUUUGCCAUUCUCUGUACCUAAUUAAAAUUCCGAAGUCCUCAGGG